GCUCGCAUGGCUCAGAGGUAGAGCACUUCCUUGGUAAGGAAGAGGUCCCGGGUUCAAUUCCCGGUGCGAGCUCCA
RNAcentral lists this transfer RNA (75 nucleotides) under Arcobacter sp. RNAcentral describes it as "tRNA-Thr". It matches the Rfam family "tRNA". Rfam says of the family: Transfer RNA (tRNA) molecules are approximately 80 nucleotides in length. Their secondary structure includes four short double-helical elements and three loops (D, anti-codon, and T loops). Lineage: Bacteria; Pseudomonadati; Campylobacterota; Epsilonproteobacteria; Campylobacterales; Arcobacteraceae. The record is from RNAcentral. RNAcentral also lists the same sequence under 3 other names.